This is a long non-coding RNA of Ailuropoda melanoleuca (giant panda), 3850 nucleotides long. The record is from Ensembl. Lineage: Eukaryota; Metazoa; Chordata; Mammalia; Carnivora; Ursidae.
UAAACUCUUUGCAAAGAAGCAGAACCCAGAGUUGGUUGUGCAGUUUCUCAAACAACACUGCCAGUUACCAGAACUCCCCGCUGUUCCCUCUUGGCCUCAUUCCUCGCACUCCCCACUCAGUGACAGAGGUCUUGGGAUGGCUUGAAAUUCUCAGCUGAGCUUGGAGAGCCCUCAAACCAGCAAGUGGUUUCCCAGAGGGAAAGGGACGCGCAGGACACACGGGACUCAGCCCAGCCCGUGGGUCGUCCGGAAGCCCAUCUGAGCCAAGUUUACGUUCAGAGACCAUGGGAACCCUGCGUUUCCGCCCACCUCCGAAACGCUUCUGUCCACAGGGGGAUGGAGGCAGCGACCUGUACUGCAGGACCUGCAGGCAGUUCUUCAGCUCCCUGCACAACAAGAAGGAGCACCUGCUGGGGAAACAGCACCUGCAGAACCUGACAGGGAAAUUCGAAAAAGAUUCCACUGAGUACUUAAAGCAUCUGGAACCUCGGGUGAAGGAGGAAUGUUGGAAUUUGCACAAAGGGAACUUGGAGGAGGACGCCGAGUGCCCUGAUCCACUUCCACUAGGAGGCCUGUUUCCAGAGGAGCGUUUUUCUUCACUCGACUUGUGUUUCUUGCAAGAGUUUAUCUUUAAACUUCUGAAAAUCAAGGAAUUCGAGCUCCAGGAGCUGAGGAAGACUCUAGAAAGAGCCCGAGUGGAACAGGAGGACUUGCAGAGGCAGCUGGUAAAGUUCCAGGUGAGGCACCCGGGGAGGGAAGCACCCACAUCCCGGCUCCGUGGCCCCCUGCUCAGCCAGGGCCCUGCAGUGCCGGGAAGCCAGGGAUGAAGCCUACACGGUCUGCUAAACACCGCGUCACAAACCCUGAUGUCCAUCGCCUGUGCACCACCCAGGCGCGAGCGAGUGUCCGUCCGUGUUAUGUGUCCUUACAAAGUGCAGUGUUCUGUCUGGAUGUGAGGCCCAGGGAUUGUGCUGCGGGCCUGCUCGUGCCGUGUACUUGUUCAGCUCAGCGCUCUGUGGUAGCCACGUCGCCAUGUGGCAUUUGGCCCGUUACUUCUCACUGGGGCGGUUGUCCCCAUUCCCUCGUGGGGGCCCCCGGUGUGUCCCCAGCCCCUCCCGACUACGGCUGGGGGUGUGAUGAGUGUCCCUGCAUGUGUCCGGUGACGGCAUCCGUGGUCUGGAUCACACGCCCCCAGGGAAAGAUCCUCUCCCUGGGCAGGUUUGCAUAAAUUCAGGCGUGCAUGGGUGGCAUCUAUUUUAAUGAAAAGCUCAGAGAAGAAAACGAGGGGAAACCAUGCAGAAAAUCAGUUUUUAAAUGUGUUAUUUUAUUCUGAUUAUAAAAUUAACAUAUUCAUGGAAGAAAAUUUUGAAAUUUCGGAAGAGUGUGUGAAGAACGUUUAAAUCCAAUCCUUCGAGAAACAUCCUUAGCAUGUCAGUGCGGCGGCCUCCAGGCUGCCUUCUGUGUGCCUCUCAGUCUGUCUAUUCCUGUAGAUGAAGGGAACUAUAUUGUCCGUAGGUCAUCACGGAUCUCUCCAGGUCUAGAUAAAUAUGUCUCUCUCUGUGGAGGGAGGGAGAGAGGGAGGUAGGAGAGACAGACUGACAGGAAAGAUUGGGAUGGGAGACCACAGUUUUGAGUCCUACGCUUUCCAUUCUAUGACAUGGUGAGCCUUUGCGUGUCUCCCUCCCUGUGCUUUCACGAAUCACUCUCGUGACCGUACAGUUUCAUCAGAAGGAGGAACCGUAGUUGAGUCCCCGUUUCCCACUCGCUGGGCGCUUGGGUCACACCCAGGAAUUCUGUCACAAAUGACGCCGUGCUGAACGUUCUGUCCAUCUCUGCACUCAUCCUCAGCGGCGCCCCUCAGAAGGGGUGCCUGCAAGUGCCAUGGGCAGGGGAUCGAAUCGGGCUCUGCCCUCAGCAGCUGUGUGCCGAGGGAAUGUCCCCGGUCCUUGGUCUUUCACGUGUCAGCCGGGGAUCAUGGCGGGUCUGCCCCCUUGGGUGGCCGUGAGCCAUGAAAUGCCCGACUCCAUGUGGAGCUCCUGGAGGGCUCUCUGGCAGGGUACCUGGUGCCCGAUGAUGUCACCAUCACACAUAGCCCUCUGGGGGCUGUUCCCCGCAUGCUCCCUCCAGCAGGCUCUUCACCCCAGACUUCUCUGUUCCCCAAAAUUCUGCUGCAAUUCCUGGCUCCUUUGAGUGUAGUUCGUCCCCUUUCCUGCAGCUUGCUAAAAAAUUCUGAAGAACGCUGAAUGUUUAAAUAAUAAUAAUAAUAAUAGUAACAACAGGAAAGAAAACAACUAGCUAUCCAAAGACGCCACAGCCUGACCCAGCAGCCUGGGCGGCAGGGAGGGUGUGUGCCAUGGGGGGUGGGGGCCUGCCCCUUACUGUCCAUGACCUGCGAGCAGGGUGGCUCACUGAGAUCCCAGUCCACAUCGCAGGGGAAGACAGCUGUGCCCCCAUGCUGGCGAGGCCCUGGCAUUCAGACACCCUUUCUCCGUGGGUGGGAGCCCAGCCCUGCACAUGCUCCUUACCCUGAGGCCGCCCCAUGCCUUCCCUGGCCCGGGCCUGAUUGCUGCUGUGGAGCCGUGCGGCCGGGAGCCUGAAAGCAGCCAGCUCAGAAGUCCAGUGCCACCGUGCAUCCAGGCCCCCCUGCCUGGCUGUGGGGCUGGGCGGGCAUUGACCCCUGGGAACCAUGCUUCCCCAGCCUAUAGAAGGAGCUACAGUGAGGCAGAAUGGGCCCAGGGAGGGGGCGGGGUAGAAGGAUUUUAAUGGUUGGGGACUGUGUCUGUGGCUGGCUGGCCUGCUUCCAGGAGCCGUGUUGGUGGGGUGGGGGGGUUGCCCUUCCUGGUUUAAUUGUUGACUUAGGAGUUUACUUAUUUACUUACCUAUAUUUACUCAUUUACUUGUUUUGUACUUUAUUUCCUUAUUUAUUUCCUUAUUUACUUUUAAUUUACUUACUUUUUUUUUGUACUUUCCUAUUCACUUAUACGUAUAUUUAUGCACUUCUUUAUUCACUUUGUUGUCUAUUUACUCCUUCAUGUGCUCACGCAUUCAUGCCCUGGCGUGUCUUGCUGCUGCCGAGGGCUGGCCGGCCGUGAACACCCAGGUACCCCUUGCAGAGCCAGCAGCAGAGGCUGGAGGCGGAGCUGGCGGGCCUGAAGACCUACCGCAUCAUCCUGGAGAAGGAGUUUGAGAACCUGAACAUGGUGCUGAUGCUGUCCCGCUUCGGCUGCAGGUGAUGGACACGGGUGAGCCCCUGUCUCAGGCAGCCCCUCCCCACUCCCCUGGCCCCACGCACCCCGUGUGUGUUCUCCGCCCCAGGCCCAGUGCAUAGUAGGACUCCAGGAGUAUUCGAGGGGAGGUCAGGUGAAUGGAGGGCAGCUGUGGUUUGUGCCGGCAUCUGCAACAGCCCUUGGGCUCCAUCACAUUUUUGUGGCGGUACACUGCUCUGAACCCCCCUUCCAACUCUGCAGCGGAGAGCAGUGUCCCUCCCCCGCACCGGCGUCCGGCCCUCUCCCAGCGGCUCCCGGGUCAGCUUCCACACGGAGGCACCUCUCUCCUCGGAGAAAGGACCGAAGAUCCUGGGACUUACGUACCGGACAGUGAGAAUGGCUCUACUGACGAGAAAAUAAAUUGGGUGUGUAUGUUUGUGCAGCAGACUCGCUCUGUCUUUCUGCCCCGGUCACGGCAGGGUCUGUGCUGUAGGUACUCCUCCCUCCCGGGGGGGGAAGAGUUGAGCAGCUUUGAUUUGGGAAGAUUUUGGUCGAGUGCUUCUGUCUUUCCACAGCUAAGCACUGCAGGGACUAGGGGCACCCCACCCCUACCCCCACCCCUGCUCUGGGAGCACACCCCCUCC